AUGUUUGAAAAGGCUCCUUCAGUCUUCCAUGAAAGAAGUCAUUCCUGCAGACUUACAGAUAUUUUAUCACUAGCCUUUCCCCUUCAUCUAACCUGUGUGUACAUGAUUAAUGAUCUCUCUUUGAUCAAGCUUCUACAUGCAUUGCCACUGCAAGUCCUGCUCUGUAUAGUUAUGUUCAGGCAUCUGGAUUCCACAUCAUAAUUUCUUUAGUUUUUUAUCUACUGUCUUCCUUUGCACAAAUGACAAACUGAAAGAAAACAGUGGAAAAAGGCUUUGUAU
This 279-nucleotide long non-coding RNA is filed under the name Anas platyrhynchos platyrhynchos (common mallard). RNAcentral's name for it is "lncRNA (ENSAPLG00000024167.1)". Lineage: Eukaryota; Metazoa; Chordata; Aves; Anseriformes; Anatidae. The record is from RNAcentral.